GAUGAACGCUGGCGGCGUGCCUAACACAUGCAAGUCGAGCGGAAAUUCGGGAAGUAGUAAUACGGACUGGAUUUUAGCGGCGGACGGGUGAGUAACACGUGAGCAAUCUGCCUUCUGCAGGGGAAUAACAUUGUGAAAACAGUGCUAAUACCGCAUGACAUCCGAUCGGGGCAUCCCGGACGGAUCAAAGGAGCAAUCCGGCAGAAGAUGAGCUCGCGUCCGAUUAGCUAGUUGGUGGGGUAACGGCCUACCAAGGCUCAGAUGGGUAGCCGGCCUGAGAGGGUGAACGGCCACACUGGGACUGAGACACGGCCCAGACUCCUACGGGAGGCAGCAGUGAGGAAUUUUGCGCAAUGGGGGAAACCCUGACGCAGCAACGCCGCGUGAGCGAUGAAGGCCUCGGUCGUAAGACUCUGUCUCAAGAAGAUAAUGACGGUACUUGUAGGAGGAAGCCCCGGCGUAACUACGUGCCAGCAGCCGCGGUAAACAUA
Molecule: ribosomal RNA, 491 nt
Filed under: uncultured bacterium
Lineage: Bacteria
Description: bacterial SSU rRNA
Rfam family: Bacterial small subunit ribosomal RNA
Source: RNAcentral